This 212-nucleotide ribosomal RNA is filed under the name uncultured prokaryote. Its description in RNAcentral is "partial 16S ribosomal RNA". It matches the Rfam family "Bacterial small subunit ribosomal RNA", at positions 524 to 735 of the family's 1533-position model. The record is from RNAcentral.
UACGUAGGGUCCAAGCGUUGAUCGGAAUUACUGGGCGUAAAGCGUGCGUAGGCGGUCUCGCAAGUCCGAUGUGAAAUCCCCGGGCUUAACCUGGGAACUGCGUUGGAAACUAUGAGACUAGAGUGCGGCCGAGGGGGGUGGAAUUCCAGGUGUAGCAGUGAAAUGCGUAGAUAUCUGGAGGAACACCGAUGGCGAAGGCAGCCCCCUGGGCC